UACGUAGGGUGCAAGCGUUAAUCGGAAUUACUGGGCGUAAAGCGUGCGCAGGCGGUUAUGUAAGACAGAUGUGAAAUCCCCGGGCUCAACCUGGGAACGGCAUUCGGGACUGCAAGGCUGGAGUGCGGCAGAGGAGACUGGAAUUCCUGGUGUAGCAGUGAAAUGCGUAGAUAUCAGGAGGAAUACCGAUGGCGAAGGCAGGUCUCUGGGCUGACACUGACGCUCAUGCACGAAAGCGUGGGGAGCAAACAGG
RNAcentral lists this ribosomal RNA (253 nucleotides) under uncultured bacterium. RNAcentral describes it as "partial 16S ribosomal RNA". It matches the Rfam family "Bacterial small subunit ribosomal RNA", at positions 524 to 776 of the family's 1533-position model. The record is from RNAcentral.